GAACUUCUAUCAGUUUCUAAACCAGUCUUUGGUUCCAUUCUCGUAUGGAUGUGAGGUCUGUGCUCCAGCUUGCUUGUUUAUUUUCUUUCACCGCUGUGCACACACACACACGCACACACACACACAAUUAUAUUUGGCGAAAUGAUUUCAGUGGUAACGGGGCAUGCUUCGUCGAUGCAAUGAUGCAAAUGAUGGAGUGUCAUUCCAGAAGUUCUUAAAAGCUGCAAAACACUCACUAGCAGGGUAGAUGUCUAUGCUAACGAGCUAUGUAGCUGAUAGCUUUAGCGUUCAUCACAAGUUUGUUUAAUGGUGCAUUCGAGUUCAUUCUAGUGAUAUGGCACAUAGGAAACAAGUAUUCCAGUCUAAGGUUCUUCAGAUGCUGUACCUUACCUACCAGGCCUGUGAAAGAAUCCAGCUCUCCACCCCUUGAGACCUCUGUGAAACAAAAGUAGGCCUAGAGGAGGAGGGCACUAUCACUGGAGAAAGAGAAGGCGAUAUCGAGGGCGGUGGUCGGGGUGCCUUGUAAGGAUCUGGUGGAGAUAGAGGGAUAACACUAUCCCCAGCCAGGCAGACGAGUGCAGAUUACAAGACGAGUGCAGAGGGAUCUGUCACGCCUUCAGCCAGCAUGCAUAAAUACUGUGGAUUUGUUGAGAACACUCAUGACUCCAACAAAGAUGAAGAGGUAGAAGAAGAAGAAGAAGGAGAAAUGGGAACUGUAGCUCCAGGAGGUGGGACAGUGGUGGACGGAGCGGGCCAGGUUACAGGAUCCAACCCUGGGGACCCCCAUGGAGGAAGGAGUGUGGCUCAACAAGAAGAGGAGGAAGCAACGUCAUAAACAGAAGCUCUUGUCUCUGGGUCUGGUGCUGCGGCUCGAGUUCACCUACGAGAGCGAGGGGGGAGGAAGAGAUGAGGCAGAGAAGAGCAGCUGAAGUGAUAAUCUUCCUCAGGACCACACAAGAUCUAUGUGUCUGAUUCUCCACAGCCUCUAGUCCCUGGUGCAGCGACAGGACACAGCAAGGAUGGCAAAGGAUCUGCAGGAUCUGCAGGAGCUCCAGAACAGCUCUAUCAUGUCUACUGGUGAUGCCACUGCAGUUGUGUCCCUGUUUCAGUAUUGGAUCACAGACAUCCCGCACCAUGCAGAGAGAAUGGAAAACAGGCCAACCUACAACAUAACCUUCCUAGUCGAGCCAGCCAACAACACAACUUUAGACUUUCCUAGAUGUUCAGGGUUUUUAACAAUACUGCUGACGGAAAACAUGUCUGACUUAAUUCAUUGUGAGCCCAUGUAACGGAGUUAAGUACAUAGCGUAAACUCACUCCACAGCUAGCUUGAAAUGUCGCGGAUGGAGCCAUCCAAUCGGUACCUUUUAGGUGGCUCAAACCGUUGGAAUGUUGUCAAGGAGGGAGGCCACAUGUGUUAGCAAAGCAGAGGUCCCGAGUUCGAGCCAGGUACGAGCCGAAUCGGGGAAGUGAUACCAGACGUUGUGUUAGCUAAUCUAAGUUUAUCAUUAGAAAACCCUUUUGCAAUUAUGUUAGCACAGCUGAAAACUGUUGUCCUGAUUAAAGAAGCAAUAAAACUGGCCUUUAUAGACUAGUUGAGUAUCUGGAGCAUCAGCAUUUGUGGGUUUGAGUGUGUGGCAUGCUUGAACAGAGGCAUUUGUGGUUCUGUGGUCUGGCCCACCAUCCGAUUGAAUGAUAAAGAUUGACUUGUUGAGAGACACAUCAUCUUCACUGUAGUUCUAUCCACUGAGGAUGCUGAGAUUUUUCAACUGUAUUUUCGAAGGGGGCUGGAAGGCUAGAAAACCUUGUCCUUGACAGUGACAUGAACUUUCCCAUCAUAGAAUGAACUAGAUGGAGAUCCUGGGAUCAACAUGACAGAUGGUACAAGUCCACUGAUGUGAUAAUCAUGGUCGGCAGCUGCUAGAACUGGCCCGCUCACAGGAGCAAUGCUUGGAUGUUUGCCUCUGUUACAGGUCCCUAUAGGCUGGCCAGGUUCUCCGACAGGGAUGAUUGCCUUAUCAGCCACACAUAACAUUUCACUGUCCUUCUGCCACAUGCAGGCUAACUGUUUUAAUGUAGGUCCAAACUUUGAGUCUUGAUGUUCCUUUCUCAUCACCUGAGACUGGACUAUGAACUUGAGGUCAAACCUUCCUGUGUACUGGAGAGCAGACAUGGACCAUGGAUUCUUGGGUGUAAACUGCAGUCUUAGCCCCUGUAUUGAUGGGAUUUUAGUUUCUGGUGGAAGCCGCUUUUCCACUUUGUAACACAAGUCCUCAACUAAUAUAUAUAUAUAUUUUUUUAACCUUUAUUUAACUAGGCCAGUCUGUUAAAAACAAAUUCUUAUUUUCAAUGACAGUGGGUUAACUGCCUUGUUCAGGGGCAGAACGACAGAUUUUUACCUUGUCAGCUCUGGGAUUUGAUCUUGCAACCUUUCGGUUACUAGUCCAAUGCUCUAACAAUCGUUGACCUGAGCUGUGUAUUUGUUAAAAUACUUCUGUACUUCAUCCCAAAAGGACUGAAAUGAGGAUUGUGGUUUGCCAUUCAGCUUCCUUAAAUCCAUGAUCAGGUCUGGGUCAUCACCAUCAAGGAGGAACAAGGAUACUCUCUCAUCAAGUAGGCCCCCUGUUCAUCAUCGUUUGCUUAACUCUUGUCAUCUGUCAGAAACUGAUACAUUUCUCUCAGGAAGUAGCUGUUCAUUUUGCAGCGUGUGCGUAUGUGUUCAGGAAUGUUUUUGCAUUGCUCUAGUGUGGAGUAUGUUGGUAUUUCUUUUCACAGUGGGGAGAUGACAGAAGCCUGGUCUCAUGAACACCGUUGCUGUGUGAGGAUACCUUCCAUAUGAAUGUCAGAGUGCCGAGGUGGUUACCACAGGCAUACUUCUAUACAGUGAAAGUCGAUGGCGGUUUCAAAUUGUCAAUCCAUUUCCUUCUCUGGAAUCUUAUCUUCAGCAGCAAAGUCCAGUUGAAAGAGGGGGUGGAAUUGGGGCACUUUAUCCAAAGCUUGUAACAGAGUACUAUACUGGGGGCUGACCGGUCCGCAUGGUGCUCUCACAGUGUAGCAUAAAACAUCAGACUGGUGUACGUAGGGGAGUGGGCUGUUGGUGACGUCUGGUCAUUGCUUGAUUCACCUUCUCCCAGUGGGAUGCAUCAGCUGCUAUGGACUCUGUUCGACUCGCCAUAUCUUCUCUGAGAUCUAAUGUGAACAGGGAAUACAGGCAGUUUUAGUUGAGAGGUUUAAAACAUAAAGCUUACACGUUUUACAUUUCCUGAAUAAAUGGUGACAUUUUACAAUA
Molecule: long non-coding RNA, 3289 nt
Organism: Oncorhynchus masou masou (cherry salmon)
Lineage: Eukaryota; Metazoa; Chordata; Actinopteri; Salmoniformes; Salmonidae
Exons: 7
Source: RefSeq, a predicted model, not a curated record